CACCCAACAGCUAGCCCCACACCCAAAACAACAAAACAACAUAAAUACCCCCUAAAGCACGAUAAGUGACCUAAACUAAACCAUUUUUCCUCCUUAGUACGGGCGACAGAAA
This 112-nucleotide ribosomal RNA is filed under the name Mogurnda adspersa (purple-spotted gudgeon). RNAcentral's name for it is "partial 16S ribosomal RNA". Lineage: Eukaryota; Metazoa; Chordata; Actinopteri; Gobiiformes; Eleotridae. The record is from RNAcentral.